RNAcentral lists this long non-coding RNA (840 nucleotides) under Homo sapiens (human). RNAcentral's name for it is "novel transcript". Lineage: Eukaryota; Metazoa; Chordata; Mammalia; Primates; Hominidae. The record is from RNAcentral.
UUUUUUUUUUGGUUUUUUGGGUGAGACAGGGUCUCUGUUGCCCAGGCUGGGGUGCAGUGGCGCUAUCUCAGCUCGUUGCAGCCUCGACCUCUUGGGCUCAGAUCAUCCUGUCACCUCUGCUUCUCAAGUAGCUGAGACUACAGGCUUGCGUUGCCAAGCCCGGAUAACUUUUUGUAUUUGUUUUUUUCUUUUAUUGUAGAGACGCGGUUUUGCCAUGUUGGCUAGGCUGGUUUCAGACUCCUGAGCUCAGUGAUCCGCCUUUCUUGGCUUUCCAAAAGGCUGGGAUUACAGGUAUGAGCCACACUGCCCAUCUUACAGCAAACAUUUUUUGAUGUCUGUUGAAUACCAGGCAACAUGAUAGACUUUGGGGUAAAGUAACAAAUUGAGAAAUACACAAUCCCUGAUUUCAAGAAAUUGGUCAUGAAGUGGAAAGAAGGAAUGGUUACUAAGAGGCUCAGCAGAGGAAAACAUGUCAGCCUAGAGGGACUACUGCAGUUUCCGUCAACCAAGUUGACACUUCAGGGAUACUUUUGUGACCACCAGGCAUUACAAGGAUCCUCAAAGUUCCCCAGGAGAAUCCUGUUGAAAAUGAAGCCACUAUCAUGGUUAAGAGGAUUUGAAAUCUAAGAUCAGGAGUGACUGCUUUCGGUGAAUACAAGUUUCUAAGACUAGAAGAUGGACAUUCUAAAGUUCAGAAAAAGUCACUUCUCAAAUCACUAAGUUAUGUUGCUUCCUUCACAAUGUUGACCAAGAAUCCCUUCACCCCUUUUCUUGUUAACAUUGCAGUCAAACAUUGAUUAUCAUGCACUUUAAUAAAAUAAUAGCCAAAUUGUUAUCUCA